CGGGAGCCCGAGGGCCGGGCGGGAGCGACCCCGUCCCGGAUGGCACUGCCGCCCCACUCGGCGGCGCGGGGUGCCCAGGCGGAGGCACAGCCUGCGUUCUCCAACCUCGCAGUGUUUAGCUAGUUAAUCCGUCACGGCGCUCAUUGUGUGCACCGGGAACUAACUCUCAGAAAUGUGAAGACCUCAUUUCCUCAGAAAGGGGCUGAGACUGGCGAUUCCCUGGGAGACAGCCUCGUCGCGGACCACUUCAGCACAGCUUGGCAGCCUGGCAUGAUGAACAGCAGUUGGAAGUGGCAUUAGAAUCGGAAGCCAGUCUCGCCCCAUUGCUCAUCAGGGCUCACUGUUGAUGCAUCUUACACUAGCGUGUGCCCAGUUCCCAUUCCUCCUAUAGACAGAAGAACCAGCAGAGAAGUUGCACGGGGAAACUGGACUGGUCCAAAAGCAGCCCAGUGCAAAGCGGCCAGCUGCAGAGGUGGACAAGGAGCAGGAAUCCUUCCUUGAUUGGCACUCUUGUUAAAGGAGAUAUGAGAAAAACCAUGGAGUGAGAACUGCAGUCUCAGAUGACGAGAGGGUGCAGGGAGAAAACAGAAGUUAUUUAAGAACGUCACCCAAGAAUGCAUAAGUGCAGCAGAGACGCGAAGGUGGUAUAGCAUGGCAGUCCCACUGAGAUGUGUACACUUUGCUGUAUAUGGGGGUCUAGACAGAGCAUGCCCUCCUGAACUAAGCAACCUUGAGUUCAAGUCUCAGCUGAGUCACUUCUUGGCUAUGUGCUGUUAGUUGUUUUCUUUAUCUGGGGACAGAACAUAUUCAUCUUUUAGUGCUGUGAUCACUAUGCUCCUUUAAUUGUGUGAAAUCUACUCAUAAACACUCUCUGGGAGCAACUGCUUUGCACUUAAUUCUGUUGCUACACAAAAAUCCAGGGAAUGUUGUGUUUUUAACAUCUACUUUCCUGAGCUUCUGGCUUAAUAUUACCUUGGUGAACAGGCAGUUUUCAACCACAUAGUUCAUAACUUCGGUGAAAUUCAGAGUUCUAAGUUGCGUCCCCUGGCCAUGGCACAUUAUCAUCUGCGGGUCUAGGAGCAGCCAGACUGUGGACCAAGGUGACACAGAGCUAUUUCAGGUCAUGUUGUUUUCGUGGGACACUCGGUAUUUGCUGGUCCUCAGAAACCAGCCGCCAACUCAUCAGAGGGACAUAGGAUUUUCUGAGAAGAGCUGCCAGCAAUUCAUGUAAAUUGCAGUUUGAGUGCAAUCAAUAGAGGUGACAAACAGCCAGUGCUGGCGGCCGGGGGACAUAAUGAAGGUGAGACUGUGUAAACGCUCACCGAUAACAAUAGAGGGGAAAUUACAGUGCAGCUCUGUAUUGAAUAAGUGUGGUCCAAAUGAGCUGCCAUGUUCGGGUCAGCGUCCCCACUGCUCAGAGGUCUGUGCUCUUGUCCUCUGUAAUUGUUAGUGGCAGCAGAGCUGGCUGGACCUGUGGAGGGCAUGCGCUCAGCCUGCAUUUGUUCUGCAUUGCAAUCCACUCCGGAUGCCACCAGCUGAUCCAUAGUGUCAGUGACCACCUCCCAGUGGACAAGAUACCACGAAAACACCAACCCUCCUCACAGCAGAGUCAAGAGGCUUGUCAUUAAAGCAAUAACGAUUCUUGGCUCUCCUGGAAAAGGAUUAAAAUGGAAAAUCACUUUGUCUGUUAUUAAAAUGUUUUCAGUGUCUUCAGUAUCUAGGAGACAGUCUCUGAUAAGUAAAGGGAAAUAUGCUAAUAUGGUAUUUCUUGUAUAAAAGAGAAAAUUUGAAAAAUGAAAUAAAAAAAUUUCAUCUUAUACCUACACCUACAUGUACAGUGGUAGUUCCAUAAUUUUAAUAUUGUAUUUUCGUAAAACAAUGAUUUUAAAAUUUUAAUAUUUGGGAGAAUAUUAGUAGGCACUGCCAUGAUUACUUUUUAGAAGGAACUCAAAACCUAAUAGCCAACAUGAUUUUGUGAUCUGAAAAUUGCUGUACAAAUAAUUACAUAUAUUGCUUUUUAAGGUUGUUUAAAUCUCUAGUUUAAGUGUAAUAAAAAAUGAAGUUAUCUUCUAACUGUGUCAUUACAAUACUAUGUGUGUUCAAAACAUUGGGAGGGUCAAAAUAAACUAGGUCUCUACUCUCAGGUUGGUCGUGUUCUCACGUAUAAUCACAGAGCAGGUGAAAGCUAGAAAUCAAAUACAAUUUCCUGCCUUUUUAAGGUAAGGAAGCUACGGGAAAUAAGCUGGUCUGUGCCAACGGGCUUUCUCAGGGCUCGUGAGGGUGUACAGGGAAGUGCUGGACUCUCACUUUUCGCCUGCUGCAUCACAUCUCAUCCACAUACGCUGAUGGUUAUUUUUGCUUUUCCAAUGACAUGCAUCUGAUAGUCAUUGUAUUUCUCCAAACAUUGAUUUACCCACAUAACUGAGAAAUAUACUUCAGUGAAGCCAUAUCAAUGAACUCUGAUAUGUUCAUUAAUGAGUAUGUACCUUUUCUUUUCUUCAAGGUUUACAGGUACAAAAGAUUAUAUGCAUUUGAAUAA
Long non-coding RNA from Chinchilla lanigera (long-tailed chinchilla), 2539 nucleotides. RefSeq lists it as uncharacterized. NCBI's taxonomy places the organism in Eukaryota, Metazoa, Chordata, Mammalia, Rodentia, Chinchillidae. The record is from RefSeq and is a predicted model, not a curated record. The transcript is spliced from 3 exons.